This 1154-nucleotide long non-coding RNA is filed under the name Rattus norvegicus (Norway rat). RNAcentral's name for it is "long non-coding RNA NONRATT026204". The record is from RNAcentral. Lineage: Eukaryota; Metazoa; Chordata; Mammalia; Rodentia; Muridae.
UGGUGACUGUAGAAAGGGUGCGGUGCAGUGCAGAGCCAGAGUGUAAGGGAAGGUCACUCAAAUGCAAGCAGCUCCCCAGGUGUCGCAGAGUGUGAGGAGUGCUCAGAUCUGCAGAGGCAGCACUCAGGCACCAGCGGGAUGGCAGGAAACAAAACCAGAAGGCCGGUGAAGGAGCUUUGGAAGUGGCUACCCCUGCUUGCCACCCAUGUAAGCUGCUGUGUGACCUGCACAGGCCUGUAGCCCCCUCUCCUGAAGGAGCAGAGACAGAUUAGUGAGGCUUCCAGUUUACCUGGAAAGCAAGCAAACAAAUCCUGAACCCAGGUUCAGAGAGAGACCCUAACGGUCCUGAGGGCACUGAUCAGUUUUCUCUACCCAAGCACUGUUUAUUUUUUCAGUGUGCCCUUGGCUGGAGAGAUGACAGCCCAGUGGUUAAAAGCACUCAUGGAAACACAGAAUAAAUCUUUUUAAAUUCUCAGAUUUGAUAAAAAGAUAUAAGCUGAAGAACUAGAAAACUUGGGCAAGUCCACCCAUGUCACGGCAGGCCUGCAUAUAAAUAGAAAGUUAUUACGGCCCUCCAUGGGCCCUGCCACCUGCAUCCCAGGAGAGGCCUGAGGCCGUCUUCAGUCCCUCCCAUGCUGCCUUAGAGAGCAGGACAGUGGAAAUAGUAAACACCCAGCACAGCAGGACACAAAUCCAAAACUCUUAAUUUAUUAUAGACGCACCUCACCUGUGUUGUCAUCCAGUGCUGACCAGUAAUAAAUACACCUGUUAAAGUCUCCAGUGUUGACUCUAUAAAGUCUUAGGCCAUAAAAACAGUUGAUCAAACAGUUGUGAUCAAAUUAAAAACUUCACCUUCUGAGGUGGCGUGGGUUGCAGAAUUGUGAGUGAUCAGAGUGCUCCGCCUCCUGGAGACUGAAGCUCCCCUGUGCUAGACCAGUCUUUGUGUCCUUGCCAUCUGCAGGCUACCUGGGGUGAGUGACCUCAGACCAUGUCAUGUAGGCUUUCCUCUCACCAGUCAGUCAUUAGCAGUCCCGUGCACUCAGGAGAACACAGCUUAGGUUCUGAUCCAGAGCGGCUGUACACCUCAUGUACUUGGGCACCUGAUUCAAACAGCAAUCCACGGGGAAGUAAACGACUGAGUAACUCCAGGCUCC